CACGUAUUUAGCCGGGGCUUCUUAGUCAAGUACCGUCAUUUUCUUCCUUGCUGAUAGAAGUUUACAUACCGAAAUACUUCAUCCUUCACGCGGCGUCGCUGCAUCAGGGUUUCCCCCAUUGUGCAAUAUUCCCUACUGCUGCCUCCCGUAGGAGUUGGCCGUGUCUCAGUCCCAAUGUGGCCGAUCACUCUCUCAAGUCGGCUACUGAUCGUUGCCUUGGUGGGCCUUACCCCUCAACUAGCUAAUCAGACGCGGGUCCAUCUUGUACCACCGGAGUUUUUCACACUGUAUCAUGCGAUACUGUGCGCUUAUGCGGUAUUAGCUAGUCGUUUCCAACUGUUACGUCCCCUGUACAAGGCAGGUUACCCACGCGUUACCUACACCCGUACCGCCUAC
RNAcentral lists this ribosomal RNA (396 nucleotides) under uncultured Lachnospiraceae bacterium. Its description in RNAcentral is "partial 16S ribosomal RNA". Lineage: Bacteria; Bacillati; Bacillota; Clostridia; Lachnospirales; Lachnospiraceae. The record is from RNAcentral.